Non-coding RNA from Earliella scabrosa, 93 nucleotides. NCBI's taxonomy places the organism in Eukaryota, Fungi, Basidiomycota, Agaricomycetes, Polyporales, Polyporaceae. The record is from the annotation of a GenBank genome assembly.
GGCCGACUAGCUCAGCUGGUUAGAGCGUGGUGCUAAUACAAGUCACUUGACUGGACUACGCCAAGGUCGUCGGUUCGAUCCCGGCGUUGGCCA